UGACUGCAUCCCCAGGACUUUUAUCUCCCUGGAAAGCCAAACUGGCUGGGUACUUCCAUUUUGUUCAGUUGCCCGGCUGUGGUUCUGUUGAUUCUCCUGUUUGUGUUGUCUCCAAACUCUGCUCUGGAGCUUAAUUCUGUUUUUCUUCCAUGUCUACAAGCCACCUUGUUUCCUAUUUUUUCUGCAUAUUCCAGCACUACUCCUCUUGCUUUGGCCUGUGUUCUUUUUCCUCUCCCAGCUUCCUAAUGCCUUUUUUAUAUGUUCUUGUAAUCCAGGAAUGGGACCUUAAAUGCUCUGAUAGACCAGCUUUAAUAUCUAAUGUAAACUGCUGCAGAAAAAUUUAUUUUGGUCCAUGAAUGCCUUAAAUAAUGCUUCAUGUAGUACAAGUCAUUGAUAAGUCAUGUGCUGAGCAAGCAGAUAAAUAAUGAUUUAUCUCCAGCCAGACUUUAGAGCCAAGAUCAUUGGUAGAGCAACUAGGAGUGCAAUGCGUAGCUAAGUUCUGCUAGCUCUAAAAAAAUUGCAUGUUUGUUCUUCAGUUGAAAUUUAUUUUCUUUUGCUGAUCCUCUAACUUUUGCCUUUUAGACAAAAUCUGGGGGUCUCACUUGUUCCUGUUUGAGUUUAUCCCGUGCAGCACAGGUCUGAAAACCAGGUAGCUUAGGAAGAGAACGUUGCUAACAAAGUACCGCUCAGACUUCUUGGGCAAGACUUGUUUGCAGCCAGUACAGAACAACUUCACCAUGUCUAAUUCAGACAGGAAGCUUUUGAGAACAGCCUGAACACACAGAUAAGAGCUCUCAGCACAAGUUCAGCAAAGGUCUUUAAAAUCUCUUUCACCCGACAGUUUGUAUUUUUCCCCAGGCCCUGAUGUGAAAGAAUUAGCAGCAGGCCUCCUUGUUACCUAAUGUUCACAAAAAUGUGCUUGUGGUUAUCCACGGGGGAAAUGGAAGCCAACUCUAAAAGAGAGAAAAAAGAAUUCUCUCGGAUAAAACACCCUCAUCUUAAA
Long non-coding RNA from Empidonax traillii (willow flycatcher), 1003 nucleotides. RefSeq lists it as uncharacterized. Lineage: Eukaryota; Metazoa; Chordata; Aves; Passeriformes; Tyrannidae. The transcript has 2 exons. The record is from RefSeq and is a predicted model, not a curated record.